Molecule: long non-coding RNA, 1297 nt
Organism: Chenopodium quinoa (quinoa)
Lineage: Eukaryota; Viridiplantae; Streptophyta; Magnoliopsida; Caryophyllales; Amaranthaceae
Exons: 3
Source: RefSeq, a predicted model, not a curated record
CGCCUGAAAAUUCCGGAAGCACCAAAGAGGAUUCGGAAUUUUCAGGCGGAUCCACCACCGAACAUCCGAAAAUUUAAGGCGGAUGGGUAGAGCCGCCUGAAAAUUUCGGAUCCUCCUUGAUACUUCCGGAAUUUUCAGGCGGAACUCUAAUUUUUUUUUUUUUUUCCAAAUUUUACAUAAUUUGAUUUUUUUUAGAGAGAAGAAAUGAGAGUGAGGUGAGUUGUGAUUUCAGAAUUGAGUGUUGUGAGUGUCGUGAGUAUUUAGGGGUAAAUACGGAAGUUUAUAUAAAAAAUGCGAGCGAUACCUAGUAAAAUGAAAGCGACGAACAACCCCCUUCUUUUUUUUUUUCUUUUUUUUUUUUUUUUUGUGUUUUAUUUAUGCAAAGAGAACGUGUGUAAAGAAAUUGAAGCCAAAACAUUGACAAAUGCCAUGCAUGCAUUCAUGCAACUAAGUGCCUCAUCACUUGCAUGACUGCCAACAGUAUGUUGUAUCCUAUCAGUCAUCACGUGUCCAAGUACGUUUUUUUAUUUUUUAUUUUAUUUAUUUUUGGUUUUAUUUAUGCUUUUUGUUAUUUGCCAGCUAUGUUGUAUCUCAUCAUGUAUCGACCUUCUUCCACACGUCACAUCACCACCUCCUAUUAUUUUUCUUUUUGAUGAUAAUUCUCACUUCUCUUUCCUAUUUUCUGUCUCAUCCAUAAACAAUACUACAAAAAAUACAAUGUAUGACCCAUAUUUAUCACUUUAUAUUGUCUUUUAUUUUGUCGUUAAUAACACAUCAACUUGAAAUUAAUUUGAUUUUACCUUUUAACUUUAUUACUCUAGAUAAUAAUGAAUGAAAUUAAGAAGAGUAUAUUCAACUUAUCUUACAAUUAAAUUGUUAAAGCAAAAAUAAUUAAACUUGCAUAAGCACAAAUCAUGGAACUUCUGAGUAUUCAUUUUUUUUUCCUGCCAAAUAUUUUAAUUCCUACAUUGUAUCAUUUUAUUUAUGUAGGAGGGAUCCUUGUGUACCGAAGGCUAUCACCACAGAAAUUCUAUAAUUGAAUAUUUUAGAGAUCCAGUUGUUGUAGUUUUGCAAGGGACAAACGGGAAAUCUGUUCACGAGCGAGGAACUCAAUGUAAUUCGAGACAUGUUGGCGCCCUACAUCACAUUUAAUUUGUUCAAAUCAUAUUGCAGAACAACACAAUGGUUACUCAACGACUUCCCCUUGCUAGACUGACAGACCAGAGCCGAAACUUUAUUACAACAGCUACAUUAAUAAAGAAGCACCCAGCUAAAAAAUCUCGCGGCGGCGGGACAA